UAUUCUUACUCUCUGCUCAUACUUUGACUUUGGAUCUACAGAUUAGAUGUUGCAGAACAGAGUGGAGAAGUUAUAUCACGGUCCUUGCAUGGACCUGUCUUGACAAGGGAAAGCAGUGGACAUUUUGAGUCUCAUAUUGAUAGGCAUCUCUUAAACCGGCUACCAGUUGUUGCAAAUGGCCCCAUAGACUGGAGUGAAGCUUUGGAUUUAUUUCCUUCGAUUCUCCUGAGUAGGUUGUAUACUUGAUUUAGUCAUUUUAGAUUCUUCUUUUUUCUUUCCAAUAUUCAACUUUUGUUGCAUGAGAAAAGAAUUUUAUUAGCUAGGCCUCUCAAGUGUUCUCUUAAUUGUUCAUGUGAAGAAUUUGAACACAAUUUCUUCCUAUUUUUAUUUGGUGCAGUCAGUUGAAGGCAUGAAAGUUGUUUGUCAUGAGCUGACCACUACUGAUCCUGACAGCAGUGCGAUGGAUGAUCUUGUCAAGGAUGUAGAUAGGCUAGUUGCAUGUCUUACAAGCAAGGUAAAUAAAUAUCUUCUAUUCUC
Magnolia sinica is the source of this 537-nucleotide long non-coding RNA. RefSeq lists it as uncharacterized. Lineage: Eukaryota; Viridiplantae; Streptophyta; Magnoliopsida; Magnoliales; Magnoliaceae. The record is from RefSeq and is a predicted model, not a curated record. The transcript has 2 exons.